AUACGGAGGACGCGAGCGUUAUCCGGAUUCAUUGGGUUUAAAGGGUGCGCAGGCGGCCGUGCAAGUCAGCGGUGAAAGCCCCGGGCUCAACCCCGGAAGUGCCGUUGAUACUGCAUGGCUGGAAUGCGGUCGAGGCGGGCGGGACGUGGCGUGUAGCGGGGAAAUGCGUUGAAAUGCCACAGAACGCCGAUAGCGGAGGCCGCUCGCCAGACCUGCAUUGACGCUCGGGCACGAAAGCGUGGGGGUCGAACAGGAUUAGAUACCCUGGUAGUCCACGCCGUAAACGAUGGGCGCUCAUCGUCGGCGGCAGACAGUCGGCGGCCAAGCGAAAGCGAUAAGCGCCCCACCUGGGGAGUACGGUCGCAAGGCUGAAACUCAAAUGAAUUGACGGGG
Molecule: ribosomal RNA, 393 nt
Filed under: uncultured bacterium
Lineage: Bacteria
Description: partial 16S ribosomal RNA
Rfam family: Bacterial small subunit ribosomal RNA
Source: RNAcentral